CUGAUCUCCGCAGCCGACAGCAUGCUGUGUUUUCGUUUCGCUCGCCGCCAGCUCCGAGAUUUCACAGGCAUUAUUGUUUCCGACAUGUUCAAGGCUUCUCCCCCCUGUCCACCCUCUCCUUCCUCAGGACCAAGUCUCAAUACAACAUAUCAAUGUCUGAUACACGAUUGUCCAAGUCCAUGUCCUCGUCUUUGGCAAGUCCGUCUGGACGAGGGAACUCUCCAUUGCUGAUGAACGAAUGGCUGGAAAAAGCAGUAGCAAAGGAACGGGUUCGCAUCUUCGCCAGAGUCUCCUGAAUGGAGAUCCACUUCCGUCUUCUUACCUCAUCAGGAAGUAAAUAACAACAGCCACAGUGGUGAUGAACACCAGCACACCGCACACUGUCCCAAGGGCGA
This is a long non-coding RNA of Pomacea canaliculata, 395 nucleotides long. RefSeq lists it as uncharacterized. The record is from RefSeq and is a predicted model, not a curated record. Lineage: Eukaryota; Metazoa; Mollusca; Gastropoda; Architaenioglossa; Ampullariidae. The transcript is spliced from 3 exons.